UUUGUCCCUGAAGUUUGAUGCACACUGAGGGGAGCUGACUUGUUCUACACACAGAAUACAAUUUUUCAGAACUCCAGUGUGCAGCCACCAACAGAUCAUCUGUGUGCUGCGUCCUCAGCAGAUGAUAUGCCAACGAAUAUGAGUCAAACCAUUUUUACCUCUGACUGUGCUCCCAUGGCUGAAGUUUGUAGCGUGGUUGCACUCGCCAUUGGCAGUGUGAUCGUCGCUGUUGUCAUUUGUAAAUGGAGAAGUGACAAAGCUGAUUUGCAGAGGAAAAUUACAUCUCUUCAAAAUGAAUUACAAAAGAGGGACAGGGAAGAACAGGA
Molecule: long non-coding RNA, 326 nt
Organism: Epinephelus lanceolatus (giant grouper)
Lineage: Eukaryota; Metazoa; Chordata; Actinopteri; Perciformes; Serranidae
Source: RefSeq, a predicted model, not a curated record